GACGAACGCUGGCGGCGUGCUUAACACAUGCCAGUCGAACGGAAAGGCCCUGCUUUUGUGGGGUGCUCGAGUGGCGAACGGGUGAGUAACACGUGAGUAACCUGCCCUUGACUUUGGGAUAACAUCAGGAAACUGGGGCUAAUACCGGAUAGGAGCUCCUGCUGCAUGGUGGGGGUUGGAAAGUUUCGGCGGUUGGGGAUGGACUCGCGGCUUAUCAGCUUGUUGGUGGGGUAGUGGCUUACCAAGGCUUUGACGGGUAGCCGGCCUGAGAGGGUGACCGGCCACAUUGGGACUGAGAUACGGCCCAGACUCCUACGGGAGGCAGCAGUGGGGAAUAUUGCACAAUGGGCGGAAGCCUGAUGCAGCAACGCCGCGUGCGGGAUGACGGCCUUCGGGUUGUAAACCGCUUUCGCCUGUGACGAAGCGUGAGUGACGGUAAUGGGUAAAGAAGCACCGGCUAACUACGUG
RNAcentral lists this ribosomal RNA (468 nucleotides) under uncultured bacterium. Its description in RNAcentral is "partial 16S ribosomal RNA". It matches the Rfam family "Bacterial small subunit ribosomal RNA", at positions 28 to 507 of the family's 1533-position model. The record is from RNAcentral.